GGGGAAGAUGGUGUGGCAUGUAAAAUAUCUGCUAGCAGAGAGCUAGGGACAAAGCGGAUAGAUUAUGCUAUUAGCAUUUAAACAGAACACACAGUUUGAGUUAAUCUAAUGCAGUGCCGGCCAGAUAGAAACUUCUAUAAUUUGCGACUGGCUCAUGAGAACAAGUAACCAGUAAACUGCAGAUUUUUUUUUUGGCUUACAAAAUUGUAGUACACAAAAAAUUCAGCAACCUCUGUGGAUCUCAUACAAUAUUCAUGGAACCAGCAGGUGUCAAAGGCCUGCAGAAUAAAAAGAUAUAUCAGAUAAUUCAUUGCAACAAUAAGCUGCAUUCAAUAGAAGUCAAAGCAUUUCGAUCUAUUUUCCACCGCUCUCCCUUAAAAUGGAUCUAUAGAAGAGCUUGAAGUCAAGAACCUAACAACAAAAGGAUUUGUUUAAGAAAGAUGGAAACUUCUAUGCACAGUAAAUUAUUCGAAAGUUCAAAGCCCACACCACAGUAACUCUUUGGGAUUCCCAGCCCACAGUUCAGAGAUAAACCACAAGACUGACCACGGGGUGGGGUUUAACUUCAAACCCAUGGUUCAGUAAACCACACCAAGGAAGCAUCAAACAUGUCACCCUAGCUAGUUUCACGGCCGGGAAACAAAGGUUGAUUUUGUCAACCGGGUAAAGGACAAACAUGUCAGCCACUAAGACCACAUCAACACAUUGAAAUAAGCUACGGAAUACAGCAUAAUGCCCCCAAUCCCUCUUAGAAAACUCAGCCAUCCUCUAACGCACUAGGAAGAUUUGGACAUCAGAGACAAGGGGAACAUGACAAGGCCCCCACUAAACCCAACAUCCCAACAUCGCGCCUCCCCUUAUAUUCAGACACCAGCUCCUCCCCCAAAGUUCAGACCAGAGUUUAGAACACCUGCAAAGAUACUUUUGCCCUCGAUCUAUUCUUCCCAAUGGAGCUCCAGUUCCAGCUGCCACAAAGCCAUCCCCAGCAGCAAUGCACCUACCAGCUGCCAGUCACAAAGGAAACCAAGCCCAGCCCCAGAGUGAGAAGCAAAUGUGGUGGUGGUGGUGGUGGUGGCGGCGGCGGCGGCGGCAAGUUCGUGGGCGUCAGGCAGAGGCCCUCGGGGAGGUGGGUGGCCGAGAUCAAGGACACCACCCAGAAGAUUCGGAUGUGGCUCGGCACAUUCGAGACCGCCGAGGAGGCGGCGCGGGCCUACGAUGAGGCCGCUUGCCUCCUCAGGGGCGCAAACACGCGCACCAACUUCGCCGCUGGCGCGCACGCCUCAUCGCCGGACUCACCACUCGCGGUGAGGAUCCGCGGCAUCCUCAACCACAAGAAGCUGAAGAAGAAUGCGGCCCCGCCUACCGUUAAUUUCUUCCCCGCAGCAUACCAUCGUGCUGGCGCCAUCACCACAGCCGCCGCAACUAGCAGCACUAGCACGAGCACCAUCACCACGACCACCAGCAGCAUCAGCCCCAGCAGCAGUCCUAGCUCCAGCAUCAACUUCUCCAUGAGCAGCAAUGGAGUUCGCACUCCCAUCCUCCCUGCUCAGAGCAUAGCUGAGGAAGUCUGCAGGCCAUACUUGAUCAGUGGAAGCGAAGAACUCCAGCUGGCGUCACAGCAGUACGGACAAUCUUGGGCACUCAACACCAGCCUGCCAUUUACGGAUGGAUGCACCAUGGCUAACAACAAUGCUUGCUCGGUGGCCGCAAGCUCAGAGGUGGACAAGAUUAAGAAGGAGAAGGAGUUGUUUGACACGGACAGAGUCCCCAAUGGCGGCAUGGACAGAGUUCAGGAUAAGGAGUUGUUUGACACGGGAAAUGAUCCAUCUGACUCCUUGUGGGAUCUGCCACCUAUUUACCCUCUGCCUUGCAGGUCUUUGAUGUAUUAGACUAGACAAAGAUUUUGCACCUUCCUAUCUCAGUGUCUCUACCUUUUGGGUCCGUUUUCUGCUCCUAGGAGCCAAUUCCGUACCAAAAAAGAGUGUAUGAGGAAUGAUGGCCAGCAAGCAGAGUAAUGUGACAGAUAUAUAUAUAUUUUUCAUCUAGACAAAUGCCUUUUUACAGAGCUGUGCUUGGUUUUUUCCUUUUGCAUUUUUUUUUCAGGAAACAGACUUAGCUUCUUUUAAGUUACAUCCGGCCGACAUAGAGCCACCAGAGAGUCUUAUCAUUCCUAUGUACAACAAUAAUGUAAACUUUUGUGGUGGAUUUUUAAAGAAAUUAGGUAUGAGAUAUUUUCAUGGUACAUCUGUAGACUUUAAAGUAGUUCUUUUUACAAAAUACUGGUUCUUAGGGUAAUAAUUAUGAUUUGAAAGGCAAAAUUUAUAUUGAAUGAUAUUUGCAAGUAUUUAUCAAACAAGCAAAGGAAGGUUCAUUUGAUGGUAAGUUUAGUGGAAACGGCUAUGAAAAUACUAAAAAAUGAGGAUUUAUGUUAUUUGCCAAGAAGCUCAUAUGUAUAAAAGUAAUCUAGCAUUUUAUUAUUAAAUACAAAUAUUACUUAAUCCAUGAUAUAGUGCAUUUUUAAGCCACCAUUUUCUCAAACAGUCCCCUUACAACGUGAAGUUGGCUAAUAUGCUACCUAUCUAGCGACAAUUAUUUGGGGGAGCCACGCCAUUGAAGGAACAGAUACGCACAGAACAACACACUAUGCAGAGGGUCAAACUAGAGCAGAGUAGUGAACAUACCAGAGGAUCCAGAUUCCGUAUGGCGCCGACUGAUGAUCGCGCCUCCUUGGGCAUCGCUGCCGCAUACGGACGGGCUAAUGACAUGCCACACGGCGCGCUAUUCCCGGGCCGAAUUCGCAGGUGGACAAGGAGGUACUAGUAGGCAUCCCAAUGGUUGAACCACGAAGCAAAUCCCCAACGGAACCUUAUGGAGCGCUCCGAAAAGGGGAAGAAAGUAACCCGUGCCCCCGGUGAGGUGCCGACGAGUUGCUUGUGGGGGUCACCCCCGCGGCCAGGCAGGCAGGCACCGCCUCGAAGCUCCCGCGGCGGCGCGGCGCGGCGCGGCGGGAAGCUUCUAGAAGCUGGACGGGAGGGCAGCUCCAGGUAAUCUCAAUCGCUAGCUAGUUGGGCCGGGCCGUAGGCGCUGGUGGACCCAACGGGCUUGGCGCCAAAUUCCUCUCACGCUACAGAAUUUUUCUUACUCUACUCCGACUACGCGUCCGCCGCUUCUCCGCCCCGCCCCGGCCCGGCGUUGCCGGCGGAGGAGCAGGUCAUCGCCGGAGUAGGCGUGAUGAUGAUGAUCAGUAAGCCACAGAGCGUGCGCGACUCAUCAGAGAGUAGUUUCUGACUGAACAACGGGGACUUGUGCAUACUUGGAUUUGCAGCUGAAUGCACGCACACAUGAACGCACUAAAAGAAACUGCAAGUCGUAGAUUUGAGAGAUCAUGGAGCUAGAAAAAUAAACAAACUGGCAACAAGUCAUGUCCAAACAAACGGUACUUGCUUCAUUGCUUGCACAAGCACGUACAGCUCGUAAUAAACUAAUAAUACAUGCCACUGCCUCCGAGUCUCCGUACUGCAGGGUGAAGCAUAAAUACCAUUUAUCCACUUAUUCAGAUUCAUACACAAUAUAUAUAUAUAUAUAUAUAUAUAUAACACAAAGGAAAAACUUGCAGGGCAAUCAAUCAGCACGCCGGCAGCAUCAGGUCGAGACACAGGCGACAGGAAGUAGAGAAGGAAAUGAACACACACACACACACACGCACACGCACACCAAACAAAUACUAUUGCAACGUCGUUCAGACACACAGAAUGGAAAAGGGGAUAGUGAACAAGCAAAGUGAAGGAAACCACCGGAUCGACUGGCUGCGUACGGAGCUCCACCUCAGUACUCUCUGAACUUCAAAACAGGUUUGUUUGGAUUCCUGGUAAGCUGGCCCCGCACGUCUUCCAACCAUUCUGGCCUGUAACGAUAGUGCUCACCAAUCUUGACUUCCUUGAGGCUACGGAGAGAUGACAGCCCAGAAAAAGAGACUUCGCCAUUGGAAUAUAGCAGCUCAAGCCUAGGUGCUGCUCCUUCUCGAAACUCCACCGAGCUGAUGCCAUUCAAGUAUACCAGAUCCAGCACCGUCAAACUCGGGAAUAAUGCCUCCCGACAGCAAGUGAAACAACUGGGCUCUUCAGCCGUGAAAGAUUCGUACCGUAGACGAAGGAUGGCCAGGUUUGGUAGCUUGCCAAGGACUUGUAUGGUUCCAUCCACCUCCGUUAGCCUGGUGCAUGCUAGCUUCAACUUCACAAGGUUCUGGAGGCUCGCGAGCGAAUCUGGCAAUUUGCCCAGAGCGCCCCGCAGCUUGAGGCUCUGGAGGUUUUUCGGAGGCAAGCGCAGGUCAUCCAAGCAGCCACGUAGGCCUGCAUCAUCUCAGGAGCACACUGACAAUGAUUCCAGGCGGCUGAGAUGGGCAAGGGUGGAACAGAACUCUUGGCAGUUCUUCUUGUUGAUGCCUGUCACCGCUAACUUGUGCAAUCGGGUGAGCCUUUUGAUGUCCUGUAGGAUGGCCUUCAAAUUCCCCCGUGAGAUGUUCACGGUACCCAGAGUGUGAAGGUCUUUUAACUUCCCGAUCCCUCUUGGCACUACAAUACCAGCAAAUGGAUCUGCAAGCCUCGCCAUAAUGGGGAGCACGACACACCAAUAAAAAGUGCACAGAUCACGCCUAUUUGAGUCACCCUCUAUCCCCUCCAGAAACUUGCGGCCGCAAAUUGAAAAACAAAAAUCCAUCAAAGUGGCAGUCCACAUCCACAUGGAAAGCUUGUUUGAGUCGCUUAGUUUAAGCAGAAUUUCAUCAUAUGAGCCACCAGAAGAGGAUAAUAUAUGAUAAGGUCCCCCCGCACGAACAUGCUGUAACUUACUAAGCUUGAUGAUGGCCUGUUGCAGCUUGAUUAUUCGUGUCCUAGUAAUAUCUAGUGUCUGGAGUUGCUUCAGGUUACCCAAUGAAUCUGGCAGGUGAAAAAUACCUUCACAUCCUCUUAAAGAAAGAUACCUUAGGUGCACGAGCUUCCCAAUUUUCUCAAGGUGAUGAUCCACUGUGAGAUAAUCUAUGAGUUUUGUUUUGUUUUGACCAGUAGGGUCAAAUGCACUUUGCUUAGCCAUUAAGUUAUACGCAGCUGUUGACAACUGCCAGUACUAGUAAAUUUGGAUUUUGCUUUAGCUGACAUAAUGUCGGUUACUGUAGUGGUACUGUAGCACGGACCUAAAAUUCCUAUAAAAGGACAUGUACCCCUCCUACAUAUCUAAGCUUGUAUAAUAUAGAAAUAUAUAUUGUUAGCUUCACUCCACAAAACCACUCCUCUUAUAUCUCUCUCCUGUUCUUAACAGAACAGAAGUGAUCAUAAGCUAAAGAAUCUAACAAUGCACAGGACCUGAGGUGCUUCCAAAGUCCAGCACACGCAGCAACAUCAUUUUAUCAGAAAUAUAAAAUGCCUUCCACUUUCCAAACACCGUCAAUGACCGUAUACGGGACAAGUCCACCAUGCUCUCAAACUCACUUUGAUCACCCUCCCAAUUGCUGCUUACAGCGAGGUGGCGUACGGUGCCCUGGUUGUUUAAGCUGCACCCUUCUUCCAUUCUAAAACAAAGAUUUUCCUCCAUUGCCUUUGAGAUGCUGAUUUCACGCAUGAGAUCGUGGAGUUUGCAAGAGGAAAUACCUUUCCUACUACCUCUUGGUUCUUUGACGCGUAGGAUCAUGCUUCGGUCAAUGAGUUCCAUGAAGUAGCUAUCAACUACUUCCCCCAUAGACUUGCUACGCACCUCGCUUGAGUAACCCUCUGCAUUCCACCGGUGCACCAAUCGUCUUCGGCGAAUACUGUAGUCUUCAGGAAAAAUAGAUAGAUACAAGAAACAAGACUUGAGAUGAUACGGUAAACCAUCGUAACUUUUCAUAAGGAUAGUUCUGAUUAUCCCAAGCUCUUGGUUCAUCUCCAGUUCAGUGCUAAGAUGUUCGUUCAGUUUUCUCUCUUUGGCUGCUUUGCCAAGAAGCCACCUAUGGUGACUAUAGCAAGGGGAAGUCCAUUGCACUUCUUCAGAAUGGGCUUUGCCUCUUCAGCCAGUCCAGGAUAGUUAUCCAAAUUUGUGGCAUCCUUAAAUACCUGUAGUUGGUAAACAAAGUUUUUAAGUAUUGCUAAUUUCAAUUAUGUAUUCAGUAAACUUUAUAAUUUACGUAUUCGAGUGACUAGCUAUAUCGUGCAAUCAUUACUCCUUGCAUGCUUUCGGCUUCAGACAAUACGAUGCGUGUGAAUUAUAACACCUCAGUUUUAGUGCAUUUAAAUUUCACUUAAUUUUUGAACGAGUGCCAUCUCCAGGCCGAGAACGGGCUCGCCCAGCACCCCCUUUCUCCGAUCCUCUCGUCAUCCCCAUGCUAAAAUUGCCACUGUCCUUGCCAUUCUACCGCUAGCCUAGCCCAUCCGUUGACAACCUGCGCUUGAGUACUACUACUAGCCUUGCCACGCCAAACGUUCGCUUCGAAGCCAUUUCACCACGCACCCAUCCCCCUCACCACAAAUCAUACGAUUUCUCAGGUUUCAUUGGAUUAGUUGGUCUACAAAUAUUUGUUCUGUUUGUAUCCCUAGCAGUUGACUACCACAGUCCCACCAGAAAAUGUAUUUGACACAGUGUGUUAAUGCACAAACAAAAGACCACUACGUCAACUUGUAAACGAUGCUAGUCACCUAUUCCAAAAUCUCUUUGGUAGUGUUUAUAAGUUAAAAAACGAAAUCAAUGGACAAAAGAUAUACUGCAUCAGUACCUUCUUUGUGAAGAGGUCAAAUGCAUCCUUGUACUCGAGAACUUUGAGCUUGUGUAUGUUUUCUGGUUUCCGUGAGCAAUGCAUUGCAAUAUUCUCUUCCCUUGUUGUGACUAUGAUCUGGCUUGUAUUCCCCAUUUUGGAGAGCUUUGGUAGUAGCUGGUCCCAUUCCUCAAUAGAAGACAAAUCAUCGAGGACAAUCAAACACCUCUUUCCUUCCAAAAGUUUAGCCAACUCUUCAAAAUUGCCCUUCCUAUAUGAGAAUGCUGCAUCUAGUUGCAUAGCUAAACUAUUAACAACUUCUUCAAGAACGAAUGGCCGCAUGACUGUGAUGCAAGCACGUUUGUCAAAUAAGAUGCUCAAUUCUUGGCUUUGGUAGACCUCUUUGACGAGAGUAGUUUUGCCAAGACCUCCCAUUCCCCACACAGAGAUUACUGUAAGUUGGUGGGCAUCUUGGUUUGAUAUUAGAUUGAUAAUGUCAUACUUUUCUUUCUCUCGACCGAUGAGCAGAGAUUCCUCCAAAGCAGCUGCAAUUGUCCCGGUGCGAGUAAGGCUCUUUCUGACCAUCUCGUCAUUGGUGCCUACAUGUUGAUCCUCAAGAAUCUCAUCUCUAGGCACCAAAGAGUCGCCAGUACUGAUGAUUAUGACUUCAUUUGAGCUAGACCCUGGGAUUGUCAAUUUGGUUCCAUUUUGAUAAACCUGAACAAAAGUGAACAAUAAUUCUGUGCCACAUUAUCAAUCUUGUAUGUGUUUAAUAUUAAGUGUAAUAUCAUGUAUGAGUCAAGGGUAGUUUAGUUUUUUCCUAUUCUAGGGUUUGGGUGCUCUCAUGUACUGUAUUAUCCCCUUUUAAGGCUAUCCAAUACAAUGUACAGUUCAGUCUCUCUUCUCCUCUCCAUUCUAACAUGGUAUCCGGCCAGCCACCAUCGUCGUCAAUUCGUCAUGCUGCGUUGUCCCCUCGUCGUCAAUUCGUCAUGAUGCGUUGUCAAGGGCGGCAAGUCAAGCCCCAAACCCAUUACGUAGAUCGAGUCGCAGCAGCAGCAGAGAGCAGCGUACCCAUUUUUUUCCCGUCGGUUGCCGUCGCCGCCAGUCCGUCGUCGCCUUGUCUCGCGGUCCCGUCGGUAACCUUCCUCGUCGGCGCCGGAUCCACCACCAUCUUCUCCGCCCGUCGCGGCGCCGUCUGCCGCCCGCCGGCGUCCCUCGAGCCGCCCGUCGUGCUGCCGUCCGUCGCGGAUCCGGCCGUCCCCGCCUCCUCCGCCGCCGUCUUCAUCCUCGCGGUCGGUGCAGCCUGUCGCUGCCGCCGUCUGCCGUCUACUCGGCCCGUUGCGGCCGUUCUCCCGUCGCGGAUUCGGCUGCUGGAGGUGGCCGCCAUCUUCCCUGCACGUCCGCUCGUUGCGGACUGUCUGCGAGGUCGCGCUCAAUCGUCGCGGCCCUGCCUCCGUCGCCGUCGCGGCACCGUCCCCGCCUCCCUGCCGCCGUCGCGGCACUGCAUCCGCUGCCAUCGCGGCCCCAUCUCCGUUGCCCCUCCUCGCAGCUGCUCGUCCCGUCGCUGGUUGUCCGUCUGCUCAUCCAGGACGACCGCCUGUCCUCCUCUGCCUCCAGACUGCACGCACUUUUAUCUGCAGUUCUGCAUUUGCCUGGAUCAUCUUCGGUUGCUGUGCUGCAACCCAUUUUCUCCUUGCUGUGCCGAUUCAAAUUUGGUCAGUUUCUGCUGGCUGCUGCUAUCUGCUGGUCUGAUUUCCCGCUAGCCAUCUUUUGUCGCUGCUGCUAUCUGUCUGCUUGCUAGGUUCAACUAUAUUGUGUCAAACUCUUCAAAUGCCACGUCAUUGCAUUCACGUUGCAUUUGAGGGGGGUGUUAAGUGUAAUAUUACGUACGAGUCAAGGGUAGUUUAGCCUUUUUCUAUUCUAGAGCUUGGGUACUUUCAUUCUAGGGCUUGGGUGCUUUCAUAUACUAUAUUAUUCUCUUUGGGGCUAUCCAAUACAAUCGUGCAGUUCAGUCUCUCUUCUCCUCUCCAUUUGUAACAUUAAAUAAUAUUUUUUGCUCUUAAAAUGUUACGAGACUAUCCAGCAAACUAUAGAACCUAAAUAUUGUUUGCAACCUGCAUGCAUAUUGAUUAAUCAACUCUAAAUUUGAGUAAAAGUUAUUAUAACAGGCAUCUGUAUGGUUCAAACUUAUUUUAUUUCUUGAUUUAUAGUACUGACAAUCGAACUAUUAGAAUAUUGUAUUGUUCCAAAUUCAAACUGUAAGAAAUCUAGUAUACUAAUGAAGUGUAUUGCUUGGCUACUUUUAUAGAGUUAAACCCAGUUUAACAUGUAUUCAGUCAGUCCGCUAGAACUGUAUUGGAUGUGGAGUCCUAUUUUGAACCUGAGCUCAUACAAUCUGGUUUUGUGAUGGCCAGGUAAUAAUUUUUCUUUCUUUACUUAAUAUGGACUUUCCUAAAAGUAUGAAAUUAAUACAGAACUAGGAGAACAGUAGCACAAUUUGCAGGUCUAAAUUUGAAAAGUUACGUUAAAUGUGGUAUUAGCUAUAUGAAUCUAAUUAAACUGCAUCCUUAGUACAAACAAAAUCCUAGUCCGCUUCGGAAAUACAGAUAAUAAUGCCUAUAAUGUACACAUAUAAUGCCCAUGGGAGGAUCCAAACAGAGAAAGGGGCAUGCACUGGCAGCAGUCCAUUUCUUUUACCAAUACAACCCAGGCGUUCUGUCACAACAAUACAACAUGAGGGGCACCCAGACCCAAAUGUUUAGUCCAACUGCACCUCAGAGCUCAGACAUUAAUCGCAGCAGAGACAAGCACUCGAAGUGAACCAUAAUAUUCGAAACUCUGGGUGGAUGGUUUGGUUAAAAAUGUUCCCUUUCUACCUCUUAUUUUGGUUUGUUGACUGUCAAAGUAAUCCUGUUUUAUUUCAUUUCCAUAUUCUUUCACAUUUUAUUAUGUUGGUUGAUUCCAAAAAAAAGAUUGAAAAAUAUUAAUACAAGUGACUGUGAAAAUGCAGCAUAAAGAAUAUGAGAUGCAGCAGCCCAAAUACUUUUAUUUAAUCAAGAUAAUUAUAGAUGGAUAGCAAGACAUAAAUUAAUUGGAUGGUUCAUAACCUCAACUUUCAAUAAAUAUUUACCUUAUUGUAGAAAGCAAAAAUACUCUGAUCAACAGAUGAUUGCUUGAGCUCUGACAAUACACUUUCUUGGCUGACACAUAGUCUUGCAACUUCACCUUGCUCUGUUGAUACUAUGAUUCAACUCCCUUUCUUGUUGUUUGGGAAAUAUUUGCUGAUCCAGUCCCACUCUUCAAAGGUGGACAGGUCAUUAAGCACAAUCAGAUAGCUCUUCUCACUCACAUACUCAGUAAAUGCAUCAACCAACUCAUCUUGCUUCAUCACCCCCAUAUUCUUAAGAACCUGGGCCCCAAUGCUUGUUAUUUCUUGUGUCUUCCGCGCUUCUUCAAGAGAAGUUUGAUAGAACUGCCUCAUGAUGCACUGAAGGAAGUCCAGUGGAUUGAAAGGAUGGACAAUCCUGAUCCAAGCAUAGAGCUUGAACUUCUUGCUUCUCAUCAGAUUAUUGUACUCUCCUUUGAUGACGGUGGUCUGGCCAAGAAGACCACUUGUUCCCCACACAGCGAUCACUCUAAGAUCGUCAUUCCCCUCGUUGAUCAGUUGGGAAAGAUCCACUUUUGCUCGGUCCUUCUGCCUCCUAGUUUCCUCAAUGCCAUCCAAAGUGCUUGACGGUCCAGCCCUUUUUGCAGGCUUGGGGCCAGUGCCCUUGAUGAGACUAUACCGGACGUUCCUUUGGCUGACAUCCUCAACCUUGGCUCUGAGUUCUUUCAUCCAUGUAGCCACACAGUGCCGAUCAACCAGUGUCCGAAGGAAGCACCACCAAUAACCACCCUUUUCUUCUCUCACACACAAUAUGCUUUUAGAACAGUAUAUGUGGAAUUGUGGACAAACUGGUUGAGGUUGAGGAUGUCGUAAGAGCACAAUGCGCAUGGAACAGCUAACGAUCAGAAUGAUUAUCAAGGCAUAUCAAGGCUUGGAGACAACGUUCUUUAAAAGAUACCAAGCUUGACGUUUCCAUGCAUAUCAAGGCACGCAAGAGAAGAUAUACUUUGGUUUGCAGGCGAGAACUAAAUCAGUUCAUAUCUUUGGCUCAGAGAUGAAAAGAGCAGAAAAGAAGAUGCAUUGCCAUCCUAGCUUGCUUUGCUAGCACACUCAAAGGUUAUAUGCCAAAGAGAAGCUGCAUCUCGAUACUUAUGUUAAUAUGCCACCUAGAUUUCUUUUAUCUAAAGAAAUGCCACCUAAAUUUCAGCCACAUUGAACCCAAAUACUAUUUGGGAUCGAUCUUCCAAACACUAGUUACCCUGGGGCUAGCAACCUGGACAAAAAAAAAAAGUUCACUGCUCUGUGAAUUUCUUUAUUAACCCUGCAGCUCAACCAAAUUGCAAACCACCGACUUGUGCUCUGAGAGCAGUAUAUGUGGAUAAACAAAUCCAGGUUGAGGAAGUCAUAAGAAAACAAUGUGCAUGGAAUAGCUAAUGAUCAGAAUGAUUAUAUAAGUUGAAGACAAAUGUCUUUAAAGGCCACCAAGCCUAACAUUUUCAUGCAUAUCAAGGCACGCAAGAGAAGAUAUACUUUGAUUUGCAGUGCAGAUGAGAACUGAAUCAGUUCAUAUCUUUGGCUUUGAGAUGAUGAGAAGAUAAAAGAUGCAUUAACAUCCUAGCUUGCUUUGCUAGCACACUCAAAGGACAUAUGCCAAAGAGAAGCUGAAUGUUUAUGUUACUAUGCCACUCAAAAUUAUUUCAGCCACAUUGAGCCCCAAUAUUAUGUGGGAUCAAUCUUCCACGCAUUAGUUACCCUUGGGUUAUAGCAAUAAAGACCAAAAAAGUUCAGAGCCCUGUGAAUUCCUUUUCCUUUUUAUCUUAAAACUCACUCGUUUACUAGUACCCUGCAGCAUAACCAAAUCACAAAAGGUACACCAUAUUCUGUAGAAAGUUUGGGAGAGGAUGCAACCAAACAUUGGUUCGAUCGGUGUCUGGGUCCCAAGUCAUACUAGCUAGAGCGAGGCAUCUCUUGAGCACAGGUAUUACAUGAACGAAUGCAGAGAAGCACAUGUAUAUGCACGCACCUGUGCUCUCUGAACUUCUCACCGAGCUGAAGGUUCAGGCCAAGAAAGCGACUCGGGCUCUAGAGAAAUGUCGGCAAUAGCGAUAGCAGGUGCAAGUGAUGAGGUAAAAAAAAAAGAGAAAACUAUCCUCUGUACAUUUGUGACGAAGCUUACUGAUCCUUGUGAUCACUUUGGUGCUUGUACUGCACAAAGGAGGCGCAUUGGGACUCAGCGUUUCUAGCUUCGAUUUCACCAAAGCUACCUGACGACCAAAGCUAAAGCAUAAUCUCGUCUCUCUUUGUGCUGUAAAAGCAAAGGAGCGGCCGGGGCUGUCGGGAAGGAUGAACCAGCAGGAACAAGAUUAGCAAGGGGUUCGAUUCGAUCACCGGACCUUUGCGUGCGCCCGCGGAGAAGAACGUGUUGGCCUGUCGCUGGCUGGAUUCCCGGGCUACCAUUGCAACGGAUGGUCGAGCCGCCAGGACCUGCCGGCUUCAGAGCAGCAACCGGCACGUACCCUGCCGGCGAGCGGGGCGAGGCGGACGGGCGGCGGCCCCAGCGCCAGCCGCGGCUGGGCCCUGGAGGAGCCCCGCGGCGGCGCGCCGAGGACGAGGGGAGGGGGAGGCGAACAGAAAAAGAAUGGGCCCCCUCAUGAACCUGCGCAGCUGCAGCUUCCCUGGGCUGGUGGGCCGGAGAAUUGAGCGCUGGUGGACCUCGGCUGACCUAGCUUCCGUGGCCGAGGUUGGCCUGCUGCGCCACACACAGCAGCAGCCACACAACGCUCCUGCUCCGCUGCUCGCCGUCGCCUUUCAGCCGCUGCCGCCUCCGCAACUGGCAGCUGGUCUGCCAGUGCCCAGUCAAGGCGUGCCCGAUGUCCCUCCCCGGAAGCAGAAGCAACGGUCGCCGGGAUUCCAACUUCCAUAAUUUUCAAAAAAAAAUAAUUCCAACUUCCAGGUGGCGUCCCUCCAUACCCUCCAACACAUCGAUCCCGGGGGCUAUUCGUUUUAUGUUUAUAAAUCAGUAAAACAUAAUCAAAAUCUUACUAUUAGGUUCCUUUUGAAACCUGCACAUUAAACCACCUACAAUCCUAGAUGGACACUCUAAACAAUAGAAAAAUUCUAAAAAUUCUUAUAAAAAUCAGAAAUAUCAUGUCAUUAAUCCGACAACUCUAAUCAUAAUAAUCAUUGGAUCUAUUAUCUUUCCUAAUAAAUUACUCACUUCUACCAUUAUAAAAAUAGACUAAAGUAAUCCUCUAAACAUGUAUCUAAAUUACCCACCUCUGUCAUUAUAAAAUCUAAAGUAACCCCUGAUCUUCAUAUAAAUUACCCACCUAUGCCAUUAUAAAAAUAAUGCAAAUAACCCCAUAAAUUUGCAUAUAAAUUAUUCAAAUAUUAUUAUUAAAAGUUAAAGUAACCCCUAAAUCUGAAUCCAAAUUAUAUAAUUAUAACAAAAUAUUAAGUGCACCAAUAUAAAAUUCUAAAUUAUUAUUUAUAUCAUUAUUAAUAUAUUAUUUAUAUUAUUAUUUAUAUAAAAAUACUACCCAUGAUAUGUUUGUAUUUAUGUAUAAUGGAAGAGAUAAGAAUAUCAAUUCACAAAUGAUUCAAUUAAAUAUAUAUCAAACGCACAUGGAGGUGUGAUACAAAAUAAAAUCUAUUGCAACUAGAUAAUGAUAAAUAUGUAUUUUAGAGUAUAUGCUAGAAUAUUUAAUAGAUGAAAGAGGAUGUGAGAUAGAUAAUUAUAAUUAUAAUUAUUAGCUAUAAGUCUUAUUUUUUAUUAGUUCUAAUUAGCCCGGAGCACAGGUUGACAGACAAGUACAGCUUUAAUUAACUAACAGUACCUAGUAACUAGGACCAGUAAUCUCCAUCUUAGCACAUCGUCCAUAUCUUGCACCAUGGUGUCUGAAUGUGUCUCAUUUUACUUUUUGUUGACCGGAGCUUCAUUAUUUCUUCACUAAAUCCCUUUGGAUUUUGCUAAAAUAGCGUGAAAAUGAAAAUUGUCAUUGCUUUUCUACCUUAAGUGGUUAGACAGCUCCUGCCAAGUUUUCUCUUAAAACAUUUAUUUGAAACGGUCUUGCAUCUUUAAACCUCCUGAAACUUUGUUUUCACACUUGAAAGUUGACUGGAAUUUGAAUGCCUGCUUUGAAUCCUGAAUAUUUGCUUGAACACCUGAAUUACUGUUUAUGAAACUUACAUGGAAUGUAAGGUUUUGGUUUUCUGAACCUUGAAGAACACUAUCCCGUGGGGAGUAAUAAAAACCAUUUUAUCGUGUUCAGCGUGCUCGUAUUCAUAAUUUAAAAAAGAUGAAAAUGUAGCUUUGCCAAGCCACGUCAGAAGUUAUGCCAAUCUAGUUUUAAAUUGACCGAUUUUCUUCCAGGCUUGUUAUCACAAUAUUGUUAUUAGUUUUUCCAUUCUUGUGAAAUACAAGUACUGUUGAAAAAGAAAAAUUCUUUGGAGUGGAUGAAUUGCAGCUCUAACUCUCGUGAUAGGAACGAAAUCGCUCUCUCUGGCUUAAAAUUGUCAGUUUGUGAAUUUGACUCCAGCAUGAUUGUCCAAUGUCCAUCUCUAUCUAGGAUUGCAUCUCAACUUUUUGAGGUGGUUGUUGGAGUAAUGGGCUUGGCCCAUUCAUUCUAUCAAUUAAAAGAAUUUAAAGCCCACUAUUAAUGCUAGGGAAUCAAUGCUUAAUUCCGUACCGGGAAUUGAGGAGGAUCUCAACCGACUUAAAAGGUGGACUUUGUGUAUACCGCUUGAGAAGCCGGUAAGAGGAGGACGGUGAACCACACGCGCGCGCGCUCGCUCGCCUCGCCGAGCCGGGCCGUGGCCGAGGCGAGGCGAGGGGCGGUGCGGUGCGCGGCCGGACGUGACGUGACGUGACGUGACGUGCGGUGCGAUGUGCUGAGAUGAGAACGUUUUUGCAGUAAAGAGCAUUAAAACAGAGAAUUAAUGUCGAUACUAAUGACCAGACAUUGAAGGCUCUUUACGACGUCCAGGUUCGUUGAACCUGAGGCACAUUAACUGCCGCUCAUCAAAGCCAUUCAUGACGUCCAGGUUCGUUGAACCUGAGUCAUCUCGUGCCUAUAUAAGCCAGCACCCUCUCCUCUCAUCCUCACUCAUCUCAAGCAUUCUCAAGGUACUCCUCUUCAGGAGACCUCUCCCUUCUCCCUCAGCUGCUUUCUGCUUUCCCCACCGCUAGCACUGCGCGCACAGGUCUAGCGAGAGCAGGGCCUCCGGAACCUCUGCUCGCUGAAGGUCCUGCACGGGACGCGGGCAAUUAGGUUUUUGGGGAGCGUCUUGACGCGACUGCUCGCUCCCUGAACGACUCCUUCGUCUACUUCCCGGCGCAACCGCUCGUGCGAACGACUACUUCGUCUACUUCCCGGCGUAACCGCUCGUGCGAACGACUACUUCGUCUACUUCCCGGCGUAACCGUUCGUGGGACUGCACUGCGAACACCUUCCUGCAUCGACUUAGUUCGGCUACUUCAAGCAAGGCCAGUCGAAUAGCAUGUCUAUUCCAGCUGGUAACGGCGCAACCGGUGCCCCCGGCACUGGUCCCGCCUUGGGGUACAUACUAAACCUAUUCUGGUUUAAUUAUUUGUUCAUGCUUAUUAGUGAGAAUAACAUGAACACAUGCACAUAUCUCUUAAACACAUUAUCACUCAUCUAUGUCAUGAAAUUGCUAGUAAUAUUUGGAAUUAAAAUAUACCGAAAAUUGCCUAGAUUUCUAACAAUCCAAAAACCUAAUCUUGUUAAUAGGCUUUCGGUAUCUAGCUUUGCUGCAUCAAUCAAACCACCACCAUUUGAUGGUUCAAAUUACAAACGUUGGCAAGAGCAGCUUAUACUAUGGUUAACACUAUCGAGAGUGAUCCAUGUGAAAGAGGGUAAGCCUGAGCAAUUCUCUCCAGAGGAAGAGAGUGCAUUCGAUGAGGCUGAUAUCCUCUUUCGAGGCUUGAUCAUAAGUGUUCUCGGUGAUAACCUGGUGGAUUCUUAUAUCCGGCUGCCAACUGGCAAAGCAUUGUGGGAUGCUCUUGAGGCUCAAUAUGGAGUAUCUGACGCCGGGAGUGAGUUGUAUAUCAUGGAGCAAUUCCUUGAGUACAGGAUGGUCGAAGACCGUUCUGUAGUGGAACAGGCUCAUGAAAUACAUACUCUAGCAAAAGAUCUCAAAAAUUGCAGCAAAGAGUCCCCAUGUGUGUUACCCAAUAAGUUUGUGGCCGGAGGUAUAAUCUCUAGGCUGCCACCUUCUUGGAGGGACUUUGCUACUUCUCUAAAACACAAGAGACAAGAGUUCACAAUAGAUGGACUCAUAGGGACUCUUGAUGUUGAGGAGAAGGCGAGAGCAAAGGACAUACGUGGGAAAGGAGUUGUUGGUGCUUCAAGUGCCAAUCUUGUUCAAAAGAACAACUCCCACAAGAACAAGAAAAAGCCACCGCAGAACCAACCAAAGACUAAGAAGACAACCACUUUUAAGAAGAAGAAGAAGACGGGAGCUUGCUAUGUGUGCGGUAGUACGGAUCACUUUGCUGCAAAGUGUCCGAACCGCAAAGGCAACGACUCCGCCAACAUGGUUAUUAGCGAGCCUGGAGGAACAUCGGGGUACGGUAAUUUAUUAUCUACUGUUCUUUCAGUCUUUGGUUCACCCGAGUGGUGGGUUGACACUGGUGCUAAUAUUCAUGUUUGUGCUGAUGCUUCUUUGUUCUUUUCUUACCAGACCGGCGGGACUUCCUCCUUGCUGAUGGGGAACGGAUCGCAUGCGCGUGUUCUUGGUGUUGGUACGGUAAAUCUGAAGUUUACUUCGGGGAAGACCGUGCAGCUGAAGAACGUGCAGCAUGUCCCCACCAUCAAGAAGAAUCUAGUCAGCGGCUCUCUUCUGUGUAGAGAUGGUUUCAAAUUAGUCUUUGAGUCCAAUAAAUGUAUCUUGUCUAAGUUUGGUACUUUUGUUGGAAAAGGUUAUGAAAGCGGAGGCUUGUUUCGUCUUUCUUUGUCAGAUGUUUGUAAUAAAGUUGCAUACAAUGUUAUUAACGUUGAUGAAACAAAUGUUUGGCAUUCGAGGCUUUGUCAUGUUAAUUUUGGUUGUAUGAUGCGCUUAGCUAAUUUGAGUUUAAUUCCAAAGUUCACUUUUGUCAAAAAUUCUAAGUGCCAUGUAUGUGUUGAAUCAAAACAAACUCGUAAGCCUCAUAAGACCGCGGAGGCAAGGAGCUUGGCACCCUUAGAAUUAAUUCAUUCCGAUUUGUGCGAAAUGAAUGGAGUGUUGACAAAAGGUGGUAAAAAAAUAUUUCAUGACUUUGAUUGAUGAUUGUACUAGAUUUGUUACAUCUAUUUGUUGAAGUCAAAAGAUGAAGCUUUACACUACUUAAGUAGAAAACCAACUUGAGAGAAAGAUCAAAAGAGUUAGGUCAGAUCGUGGUGGCGAGUAUUUCUCAAAUUUAUUUACUUUAUUCUGCGAGGAACAUGGUAUUAUUCAUGAGAGGACGCCUCCCUAUUCACCUCAGUCAAAUGGGGUUGCCGAAAGAAAGAACCGCACUCUAACGGAUUUGGUUAACGCCAUGUUAGAUACAGCGGGACUUUCCAAGGAAUGGUGGGGAGAGGCUAUAUUGACUGCAUGUCAUGUCCUAAACCGUGUUCCUACAAAGAAUAAAGAGAUAACUCCAUUCGAGGAAUGGGAGAAGAAAAGGCCAACACUGUCAUACUUACGUACAUGGGGUUGUUUGGCAAAAGUGAGUGUGCCAAUAACCAAGAAACGUAAGCUUGGACCUAAAACUGUGGAUUGUAUCUUUCUAGGUUAUGCUAUUCACAGCGUUGGAUAUAGAUUUUUAAUAGUGAAAUCUGGAGUACCUGAUAUGCAUGUUGGUACUAUAAUGGAAUCCAGAGAUGCUACAUUUUUUGAAAACAUUUUUCCCAUGAGAGAUGAAACAAGUUCAUCUAGGCAAGAGUUCAUCGAGAAUGAUGGCUCUGCUGAGCCGAUAGAACACAAUGAACAUACACUUGUAGAAAAUCCUGAGGAGGAUAACAAUGAUGCUCCGAGAAAGAGCAAGAGACAAAGGACUGUAAAGUCUUUUGGUGAUGAUUUCAUUGUAUACCUCAUAGAUGAUACACCCAGAACCAUUGAAGAGGCAUAUUCAUCUCCUGAUGCUGACUAUUGGAAGGAAGCAGUAAGGAGUGAGAUGGAUUCUAUUAUGUCUAAUGGAACCUGGGAGGUUGUUGAACGUCCUUAUGGAUGUAAACCGGUUGGAUGCAAGUGGGUGUUUAAGAAAAAGCUUAGGCCAGAUGGUACUAUUGAAAAGUACAAAGCUAGGCUUGUGGCCAAGGGUUAUACCCAAAAAGAAGGAGAAGAUUUCUUUGACACUUAUUCACCAGUUGCCCGAUUGACCACAAUUCGAGUGUUACUUUCCCUGGCAGCCUCUUAUGGUCUUCUCGUUCAUCAGAUGGACGUUAAGACGGCUUUCCUCAAUGGAGAGUUAGAAGAGGAGAUCUAUAUGGAUCAGCCGGAUGGGUUUGUAUCAAAGGGUCAAGAAGGAAUGGUUUGUAAGUUGUUAAAAUCUUUAUAUGGUCUCAAGCAAGCGCCUAAGCAGUGGCAUGAAAAGUUUGAUAGAACUUUGACCUCUGCCGGCUUUGUUGUGAACGAAGCUGACAGAUGUGUGUACUAUCGCUAUGGUGGGGCUGAAGGAGUGAUUUUGUGCUUGUAUGUGGAUGACAUACUGAUCUUUGGCACUAGCCUUAAUGUGAUUAAGGAAGUCAAAGAGUUUUUAUCUCAAAAUUUUGAGAUGAAGGAUCUGGGAGAAGCUGAUGUUAUCCUUAAUAUAAAACUGGUAAAAGAGAUCAAUGGUGGGGUGAUUCUUACACAGUCUCACUAUGUGGAGAAGGUGUUAAGUUGCUUUGGUUAUAGCGACUAUAAACCUGUCUCAACACCAUAUGAUGCCAGUUUAAUUCUUAAAAAGAACAAAAGGAUAAUGCGAGAUCAGCUGAGAUACUCUCAGAUCAUUGGCUCAUUAAUGUAUUUAGCGAGCGCUACAAGACCUGACAUCUCGUUUGCUGUAAGCAAACUGAGCCGGUUUGUUUCAAACCCGGGAGAUGAUCGUUGGAAGGCUCUUGAAAGAGUAAUGCGCUAUCUGAAGGGGACAAUGAACUAUGGAAUUCACUACACCGGGUACCCAAGGGUACUAGAAGGGUAUAGUGAUUCAAAUUGGAUCUCUGAUGCUGAUGAGAUAAAGGCCACAAGUGGAUAUGUGUUUACACUUGGUGGUGGAGCUGUUUCCUGGAAGUCUUGCAAGCAGACCAUCUUAACGAGGUCAACUAUGGAAGCAGAACUCACAGCAUUAGAUACCGCCACUGUUGAGGCUGAGUGGCUUCGUGAGCUCCUUAUGGACUUGCCGAUAGUUGAAAAACCAUUACCGGCAAUCCUAAUGAACUGUGACAAUCAAACGGUAAUUGUCAAGGUGAACAGUUCAAAGGAUAACAUGAAGUCAUCUAGACAUGUGAAAAGGCGGUUGAAAUCUGUCAGAAAAUUGAGGAACUCCGGAGUUAUAGCCCUGGACUAUGUUCAGACGGCUAAAAAUCUGGCAGAUCAGUUUACAAAGGGUUUUUCACGAAAUGUGAUAGACAAUGCAUCUAUGGAAUUGGGCUUGAGACCCACGUGAGUCAUUCUAUAGUGGAAACCUGUCCUAUGUGAUCGGAGAUCCCGUGAAUUAGGAUGGUGAAACAAACUAAAGUCUGACUGUGAGAAGAGAACCUUUAUGAAAAGGGCUCAUUCCGUGUAUAAGGUGCAUUUCUCUUCUAAUCUGUAUGGCAGGUUGGUCUAUACCUUAAUGUGUUCCAGGUGGUUUCUUUAAAACAAAUGAGUUGUUUUCUUGAAACAAAGAUGUUGUCCUACAGAACAUCUAAAAGGAACACACCUAUAUGAGUUUGACUACUGGUCAUGGUCUAUGAGAACUGGGUAUUCUCUAAAAACUCAAGAAGGGCCUGGAGUAUGACUUAUAAGCUCCAAACCGCGGGGAUGCUCUUGCAGCCUAGUACCAGUGUAGGGCUCUGGUCAAACUUGUUUGCACAAAACUGGCAAUUCAAGGCAUAGUCCAUUGCACAGUUGUGAAUAAGUGUAGCCUUUGUCCUAGAUGGAAGUUCAACUUAACAGUCUCUGUCGAAUACUGGUAUAUCAAUGAGGAAAUGAGGGCAUUUCUAGUGCGGCUUGAAUUUCUUGGUGGGGAUUGUUGGAGUAAUGGGCUUGGCCCAUUCAUUCUAUCAAUUAAAAGAAUUUAAAGCCCACUAUUAAUGCUAGGGAAUCAAUGCUUAAUUCCGUACCGGGAAUUGAGGAGGAUCUCAACCGACUUAAAAGGUGGACUUUGUGUAUACCGCUUGAGAAGCCGGUAAGAGGAGGACGGUGAACCACACGCGCGCGCGCUCGCUCGCCUCGCCGAGCCGGGCCGUGGCCGUGGCCGUGGCCGAGGCCGAGGCGAGGCGAGGCGAGGGGCGGUGCGGUGCGGUGCGGUGCGGUGCGCGGCCGGACGUGACGUGACGUGACGUGCGGUGCGAUGUGCUGAGAUGAGAACGUUUUUGCAGUAAAGAGCAUUAAAACAGAGAAUUAAUGUCGAUACUAAUGACCAGACAUUGAAGGCUCUUUACGACGUCCAGGUUCGUUGAACCUGAGGCACAUUAACUGCCGCUCAUCAAAGCCAUUCAUGACGUCCAGGUUCGUUGAACCUGAGUCAUCUCGUGCCUAUAUAAGCCAGCACCCUCUCCUCUCAUCCUCACUCAUCUCAAGCAUUCUCAAGGUACUCCUCUUCAGGAGACCUCUCCCUUCUCCCUCAGCUGCUUUCUGCUUUCCCCACCGCUAGCACUGCGCGCACAGGUCUAGCGAGAGCAGGGCCUCCGGAACCUCUGCUCGCUGAAGGUCCUGCACGGGACGCGGGCAAUUAGGUUUUUGGGGAGCGUCUUGACGCGACUGCUCGCUCCCUGAACGACUCCUUCGUCUACUUCCCGGCGCAACCGCUCGUGCGAACGACUACUUCGUCUACUUCCCGGCGUAACCGCUCGUGCGAACGACUACUUCGUCUACUUCCCGGCGUAACCGUUCGUGGGACUGCACUGCGAACACCUUCCUGCAUCGACUUAGUUCGGCUACUUCAAGCAAGGCCAGUCGAAUAGCAUGUCUAUUCCAGCUGGUAACGGCGCAACCGGUGCCCCCGGCACUGGUCCCGCCUUGGGGUACAUACUAAACCUAUUCUGGUUUAAUUAUUUGUUCAUGCUUAUUAGUGAGAAUAACAUGAACACAUGCACAUAUCUCUUAAACACAUUAUCACUCAUCUAUGUCAUGAAAUUGCUAGUAAUAUUUGGAAUUAAAAUAUACCGAAAAUUGCCUAGAUUUCUAACAGUGGUUUUCUACAGAAGCUUCUGACCGUGCCUCUCGUUGUCAUAGCCUGUGCUCUGGUUUGCACUCCGGUCGGUCUUUGUUUUCUUUAGGCUUCAUUUCCUUUUCACAACUCCUUCGUGAUGAUGUGUUGUGUCAAAUUACGUUAAAGAAAGAAGUGGUGUCGUAACGCCAGAUCUGCCUAUUGAUUAACCUGUAAACCACACUUUGUUUCAUAUCAAAUUGGCAUGUAUUCAAUAUUUCAAUUUAUUGUUUAAAGUCAGCAUCUAAUUGUGAUUUACUUUCUGGGAAUGUUCUUGAAUUUUAUGUCAAAGGUUAGCCAUGUCUCCUUAAAACAGGAUAAACAUGGGAGCUUUAUGAUACAGGAAACAACCUACAAGGCAGCAUAGUUCUUCUGAGCUACUGAUCAGAUGAAUUGAACGUAACUCUGAUGUGAAUUAGAUGCCAGGAUAUCAUAGAAAAUCAUUCCUACUGAGAAUAAUCAGUGAUCGAUUAUUAUCGCAUAUUUUACCUAAUUUAUCAGCUUGAGUGAGUAACAAGACUUAGAUAUUCGCCCAUUGUUUUCAUCCCAUGCAAGAUUUACUUUUCCUGUUAUGGAUUUGCUAUGAAUAAUGCACAGCACAGCUCUGCUAGAACGGUCCAGCGGAAGCUUGAGUGCGAAGGAGGAAGAAGUCCAGAGUGGUAGGCCCCAAAGGCCAUUAUUUUCACCCUUGUCACCUAGCAGGAAGGACAAGCCCACACACAAGCUCCUCUCUCCCGGCCGUCUCCCUUGCUGCAAGGAGCUCCAAGCCGUGUGUGUGAUGCUGACGUGUUCCUGCACUCGUUUAUAGCUUCCUCCCACUGGCACCCUGUUUCCCUGCAGUGAAGGAAGAGAGAGGGGAAAGACAGGAAUCCUAUCAAGUUGAUGCUUGGAAAGCAACUGUUCUAUAUAGGCCCUUGAUACUUCUACUCUUUGCUGCCUAAGCUCGUGCUGUUGUGUAGCUGCUAGAUCCUGCAGCUUUAGUUCUUGCAUCAGCUUGCCAUGGACAGAGGAGCAGGUGUUCCCAUGGAUGCAGGCCAGGAUUUGUGGGACUGGGAGGUCCUGCCUGACAAGAGGAGCUUCUCCAUGGGCCAUGGCAGCAUGCAUCUUAAUGGUAAGAAUCUUCAGCUCUCUUUUUUCAAAAACCAAAAAAAACAAAAAAGGAAACUUCAGUGCUUGAUCUACUUAAUCCUGAUCAUGAUCAGCAGUGACUCUUAUUCUUGUGAUCGGUUGCAUGCCAGAUCAAGAAACAGAGGAACAUGUUCUGCCUCCAUCGGGAGAUGUUGCUGUGGCCGACGAGCCUGACGUCGAGUGCAAGGACAUUGGCGUCGUGCUGGAUGAGACCAAACCAGUGCCUAGUGUUGCCGAUCUGAUGGUCUCUGACAAGGAUGAGGAAGAGAAGGCGUUCGAGAGCUCUGACGCCAAGGAGGCCGACGAUGACAAAUUUGCCGAGGAGGAAGAAGAGGAUGUCAAGACGGAAAACAAAAAGGCGCGGCCGGAGUGCGUGGUGUUCAGCGUGGGGAAGCUGAAGGUGAACGGGAUCGGCGCGCUGUGCUCGUUCGGGUUCGCCGCCGCCACCGUCUGCAUCUUCCUGAUCGGCGGCAGGCUGCAGCACCACCACAGGCAGCAGCAGCAGAAGAUCCAGCUGCAGUUCUAUGGCGAUGAUAAGGUUCGAUGACUCAUUCAGUAUUGUCUUUGUAUACCUAAUCCACAAUCCCUUUUUGUUUCUAGAAUGAGUCUUUUGACCUAAUUAAUGCAGAAUAUGCAAGGUUUGAGCUUGACAGGCAACUAAACUUAUCUUAUUACUUGUGGUUCUCUGUAUACUUGGAUUAACUAUGAUGGCCCAACUUGGGCGUUCCUGUCAUCUUAAAUGCAUUCGCCGGCCAUCCAAUCUUGUCCUUAUGCUAAAAAAAAAAGAAUUAGGAGAUUCUUGGAUCGGCUUAAGCUAUUUGUUCUUAUAAAUUCAGAAACUUCCAGCUGUAGCCUAUUCGUCUUAUCCAUGAGAAGUUUGGCUGAUGAAGAUGCUUUGAUGUGCAGAGAAUCCAGCAGGUUGUGCAACAGACCUCAAGGCUGAACCAGGCCAUGUCAUCCGUGAUGGGGGCAGGAGGAGCAUCAACCAGGGCCAACAUAUCAUUUGGUGGCUUCUACGAUGGGUUCUGAUCUCAUCACUUCAUCAGAAUGGAGUAUCAUCAUCAAGCACAAGUUGCAAUGGUAGCAGGUAGCAACUUAUUAGAUAUGCUACGGCCAAGUGGUCUGAAACUCUGAAUGUACACUACCACACGUACCUGCACAUAGUUUGUAUUGGUUGUAAAUAAUUGGGUUCUUAGACCUUGGUUUAUUACAUACAGAUAAGGAAGGAUUAUUAUAGCUAGGUUUGUUCAAGCGGAUAGAUAAGAGAAAGAUUAUUUGACUUGUGCCGAAAUAGGAAAUGCUUAAUCGAGAAGUUAUUAACUGAACAUGAAUAAUUCCUCCUCUUGACCUUUUUCCAUGAGCGGAUUUCUAUGAAUGACACUUUUAUUUUACUCAACAAAUGAUUUGUUAAUAGGCUAGAAGUAGUUUUCUAUUACUUAAAUUAAAUGAAUUUCUUUUCGAUUACUUCCUCCAUUUUUAAAUAUAUAUGAAAUUUAGGACAAUCAAAUUCGUUUUAAAAUAAACUAAUUGGCUUAUCCUAAACUGUUUAUACCUAAACAUAGUGUAUUAAAUUAGUAGGGUGUAGAGCCUUUGUAGCACUAUAUUGUAACAGUGUAACCCUAAUCAGUUAGGCCUUGGUCGGUAAGGGGAGAGUGCCCUAGCCAUCUUUUUCUCAAAGAAAGUUCUAUUCAAAAGUCAACAUCUGCCCAAAAAUCCCUCCUGCGCUGAAAUUCUUGCCCCUGCUGGCCGACUUUGCGCCCUAAACUGUGUGUCGAGGUGCACACAGUGACAUGCCACCAAUCUGGCCAUUUGUGCACGGGUGAUGCGAAGUACAAGUGUCCGUGCGACCGCCCGGCAAACUAAGCUAACCGGGAAACGUUCCCGUUCUGAACAUCACAAACUUUUUUCAAACAUUUAUGAAAGGUUCACUGGAUCUACAAAGAUAAACGCUUCAUUGUCGAGUAGCCCAGGGUACAAGACAAUAUUUGAGAAAAAUAAUAACAUUUGUAAAUUGGAUAUCUCAAUAAAAAUUUGCUCAAUAUAAUUACAAGUAGAGCUUCUAAUUGGCUUCUGGCAUAGGUCUGAUAAACUAAAGUAGUAAUCCAUUUCCUGGAUCAUUGUUGACUUGUUGUCAAACAAAGGCACACUUGUUUCUUACCACUGCUAAUGACCCAAUUUAUUGCAAAAACUUCAGGGGAAAAAGAAGAAGUAACUCACUUGUAAUGCAAGGAAUACCAUGGGGUAAAAAUCUGCCGUCCCUAUUAGGUGGUCAAAAGAAGCCAACUCCAGCAAGUCUCUGUGAAUGGGAUGGAGCGAGCCAGGGAGACGAACUUGCCAAGUGGCAUCGUUGCUCCGGUGAUGCCGACACAAGGAAGAAGGCCAUGUGAAAAGAAGAAAAGAUUGUUUGUUAGUUUGUUGCGUGUUUAUUCACAUAUUUAAUUUGUUCUUUUGUGCACCUUGCAUAUGGUUGCGUGCACGGUGCAUUUGGAAAACUAGUCAGUCCUUAUCGAGAUGAAGUGUUUUACAUAGCCUUUUCCCAUACUUAGAAUGUAAUUUGCUUAUUUCUGGUCUUCGAAUCUGUCGCCCUGUAAAUAUUUUCCUCAUGCAUGACUCCUGAGUGGAGUGGUAACGCUUUUGUAUUUCCAUUCAAAAGUUACAAAAAUAAAAGGCAGCUCUAAUCCCAUAUGUACAAAUCAAAUUUCAGCAUCUACAUUCGAUAAUAAAGCAUAAGAAAAUUUCAAUUUCUCUAAUUUACUUCAUUGCUCUGCUUAAUAUCACAAGGCCGCCAGGUACUAGCAGGUUUUUGGAACUCCGAUUUCAAAAACAAACGCGAAGAUAAAAUGUCACUUUUGAAUCCAAGUGGCCAUGAAUGGAGGGAUGUCAGCAUACUGUACUUUAUUCCUUUGAUUUACCAUUUCUCUUUUGGGGGUGAAAACAUCUCCUUUAUCAGGUACUGAAUUUAGAAUACCUUUGAACCAAUGCCUUCUGCAUAACGAGCUUAGCGAAGCAAUACUUAUGUCUUCAUUGCAUAUAAUCUUAAACCUGUUUCUAAACCAGGAACAAUGUAUUCUUUUUCAAAGGAGAUUACUGUAUUAUGAUAUCAAACCCAGGAUUGUUCAGUUUUAAGCUUACUUUAUGGAAAUCAUAUUUCCUCUUGUGUGUGGCGUAAAGCAGGACUAACUAUUGGCACAUUCAUUUUGUCCAAGCAUACUGCUACACUUAUUUGAAUAUGCAUACAUCAUGACUGAGAAUUACACGUUAAUAAGACUGACGAUGAGUACAUUGACUAGCAUUGCCACAUAAGUUUCUCAUAAAACCUAAGAUACAUAUUAAUAAUUUUCAUGAUUUCAUAGUGGAAUGUAAAACGAGAGUAACACUUCCUACAUUUAUGGCCAUUCAAGAGCAUGGUGAUAAUGAGGUAAAUGAGGGAAAGUAUUACGAAUGAAGCCAGAGGGUACACAAUCAAGGUAUAAGUUCAUCUUCGACACCUUGUCAUCCUGAUAGUAAAUGGUUACUGCAGGUACUUUGGUGCCGUUUAGGUCAUUAAACUUUGAGAAGAUUUUCUAUAUGGCACUUUCCCUAUAUGAUAUUAGCAAAUUUUGCCUCCCUUAUUUGACAUGGAGAAUUUUUCGGAUACCAUCAAGGAAUGUUUUAAUAUUUUUCUAGGAUCGUCUGUCGAGUGGCAUUCUAUCAUCUUACGAUGAUGUACUCUCUCUCUCUCUCUCUCUCUCUCUCUCUCUCUCUCUCUCUCUCUCUCUUUUUGCCUAGAAAGCAGCAAAUGCUAGCUGCUGCCCUCAUGCAAGGCGAAGCAAACCUACAAGCAGUACAAAAGUUGGCUGCAUUGUGGAGCGUGUCACACUGCCACUUGAAAGCAACAUGGAGGUGCAACGAGCAGGGUGAGGAGGAGACCAAAAAGUGUGCCCGGAAGAGGCUUGAGGAAAAGCAAGCAAGCUGCACGUCUUUUCUCUUGCUCCGACCAAUCCUACUGCUGGCGACUAGCUAGGAGCAUUUGCGCAGAGACGAUGCAGAAAGCACCAGCACCUGCUGGUACUCUUUCCAUGAGUGGCUGAGUGCGUGCCUGCUGUGGUGCGACCGUCACGCUUGUGCAGACAAGAUUGAAGCGGGCUAUAAAUUUUUGGAGAACAGACGAUUUCAUCCUUCAGGUUCGGGUCGAAAAGAAAAACACCGAGUUUUUUUUUUACUUGACUCUACAAAUAGUCGUGUCUAUUUCUAAGUUUCAUCCGUGAGAUUUCCAUCCUACACGCAAGCUACGCUAUCCUUGCAUUAAAAUAUAAAAAGAACAAUUUUAGAGGAAUAAGCGAUUUCAUCACUAAACUCUGCACGGAUGGUCAAUUUCAUCCUCAACUUUAACAUAGGCCAUUUUAGUCCUAUGGAACUUACGUUUUUAGAUUUCCAGGUUCAAUGUGCUCCCUCGUUUUUACUGUCCAUCCGUAUUAGUGUGCCAUGUCACCCAAGGCGUACCCAUGGGAAAUGUAUCCUUGUCUUGUGCAUGCUUCAGGCAAUACAAUCGAAAGAUGGAUACUCCAUACGGACAAACCAAAGGUAAUUAGAAAUCACAAUUUUGCAGUUACUUUUUUGGCUGAAGCGGGUGAUGCCACGUGGACAGCCAGUCAGUCCAAAAGACUAGAUUGCACCUGGAAACAAGAGUUUUUUUUUUAAAGGAUGAAACAAGAGUUGCAAGACUAAAUUGUUGGCUCCUGCGAAACUGAGGGACGAACUCGACCUUCGGAGCAAAACUGACUCGAUUAUCCGGCUGGAUUUUUUUGGCCGGAUCCCGUCCUAACACAUGGUCGGUUCAGAUAAAACCCGAUUCUUUAUAUAUAAUUUUUGAGUCGGGUCGGUUUGAGUCAGGUUUGGAGUCAUAAAAAAUCGAUCCAUAUCCGGACCGUUUUUUAUGGCAGAUUGUAAAUUUCAGCCUGAGCCUAAUUCAUGUGUUGUCAGAUCGGAUCGGGUCGAAAUUUUUUUCAAGCGGAUCGACGUCGGGUCAGAUGACCAUGAUCCGAUAUACUUGAAAGUGUAAGCUCCGAAUCUCUCCUCUUUGGGACCAUAUCCUACUGUAUCUUGUAUGUUCGUUGCCUAUAUACCGUAUACGUGCAUGUUAGUCCCAAUGUGGUGUCGUCACAUGUACCCUACAUUUAGCCCCGAGAUCUUGUCGCCACACGCGCCGAGGCCACUACACGACCGAUCCGUUAUCGAUCACCUGCGCCAUGAGUAGAUUCCGAUGGCCGUUUUGUCCCUGUCUACCUUGCCGGCUGUUCUUUUUUCUGUCAGCAAAGACAUUUGCCGGUGAGGCUGUGACACGCUCAGGAAUCACUGUGGCAUGUACACGUGAGUUUGUUCCACCCUUUCCUUUCUUUUUCUUCCCUGUGAUGAGAACACUGAAACACAUCAGCGUGCCUGCUUCAGCAUCGUCAUCAUCAGGUAGCUAGCCGUACUACUGUCAGGGGGAUUAUUGUCACAAAAGAAUGAAAACAUUUCCGUCAGAUUUCCAACCCUACUAACUUUGUCGCAACUCACAGAGGCUAGUGAAAACGUGCGGUAAGAAUAUUUAUUUAUUUAUUUGGGCUAAAUCACUCCAAAACGGAUCAUAUUUUUGCAAUUCAUCAGGUUCAUUUGAAGAGUAGGCAGGGGCCCAUACAACAAUUUGAGCCCGGGGUGCGAUGGUGAUCACCCUGCUGGGCGAUUCGCAACUACUUGCCGACCGUAGGUGCGGCAUGCGCAGGAGAGCCGAAGCCUGUCAGCGGAGCUGAAAACCAAGUCCCAACCGCACAAAUUGGUGUGCCUGCCUGCCCUCCUUCACGCCCAUGCAUCGCCCACGGAUCGAUCGAUUCCAAUCAUCACGUGUGAUGUAAGACAGAUCUUGUUAUUGUGUGUGAGCGCGUGCGCGUAUAUUGGUAAAGUAAGAAUUGAUGUUAGUGAUAGAUUCCUUAUUUUAUAAUGCGCAACUUAUUUUAUUCAAAAUGUUGUGGUAGGAUAAAAACUCUAGUUGAAUUGUCAUUGCACAUUGUAUAGAAUGGUAUCGUAAAAUUGAUGCUAGAAGAUUCGCUAGUUUUAAUGGCUCUGUAUUGUAUAGCAAGUUCAUUCUGCGAGCCAUCUCGUCGAAUUGUCACAUUUCCAUAUGUACUCUGUUAAUAUCUAAGAUAAUUUUUUUUAUAUUUACAAAUAGUUCGAGGGUAGUAGAAAAAAAAUAGCACCACAUCCUGCGGAUAGGCCAAGCCGCGGCUUGUAUAGUCGUAUACGUGGGGGGUUUUUCACUGAAAAAUAAAUUCUCCUAUACCGCGCUGUUUCUUCUCUUCUCGCCCCGUAUCCCCGGCGGCAAGGCAAGCUGCCAAGAAUGGCGACGAGCUAGCAUGAGCGAGGCGACGACAAGGGGACAGCAGUAACAGCACCAGCACCAGCAAAUUCCUUUCUCUCUCCUCACGCGCCGCCGGGCCGGUGCCGUUGCGUCGCUUUGCUGGUCGCCUUUGUCUCGCUCUCUAGCUGGCAUUCUCGUUCUGGCACGCUCGUCCCUCACGCACAGCUUUGUCUCCACCCUCCACUGCCACUGCCAUUGCAACCGCCCCGCCGCUGGCCGUCCUCCAUCUCCCCUGACGAUCUGUGCGCGCGCCAGCGUCGCCCGACGAAGAAAGGAUCCCUGACUGACGGGAGCGACGCCAGGCCAAUCAUCAACGCGCCCCCAUUCUGCUGCGUUGCGCAUUGCGCGCGACGUGUUCGUGGAAAGGCCCGGGAGGGACGAUGAUGCGGGACCUCACCUGCUUCGGGGACGCCAGCGUCCAGAUCGCCGACGCGGCGUCCUCGUCCUCGUCCUCGGGCACCGGCGGCGGCGGCGCGCGCGGACGCGGCAAGGCCCCCGCGGCGGCGCGGAGCCGGGUCACGUGCCUCUACCACGCGCGGCUCGCCGGCCGGCCCUGCGCGCUCUCGGUCACGUGGACCAGGGGCGGCGGGCUCGCGGGGCAGGCGGCGGCGGUCAGCGUCGUCGCCGUCGACGCCGCGUCCGGGGACCGCCUGUGCCGGGCCGACGUCAAGCCGUGGCUCUUCGCCAAACGCAAGGGUUCCAAGAGCCUCGACGUCGCCGCGUCCAGCGGCGCCGCCGGCAGCACCAAAGUCGACGUGUUCUGGGACUUGUCCGGCGCCAGGUUCGGCCCCGCGCCCGAGCCGCUGGAAGGCUUCUACGUCGCGGUGGUGUGCGACCGCGAGAUGGUGCUCCUGCUCGGCGACAUGAGGAAGGAGGCGUACCGCAAGACGGGCUCUGGCCGGCCUGCCGUCGACGCGCUGCUCGUGGCCAGGAGGGAGCACGUUGUCGGCAAGAAGGUUUUCUCCGCAAUGGCUCAGUUCUGCCACCAUGGCCGGUGCCAUGACAUUGUGAUAGAGUGUGACACUGCCAGCGCGAAGGAUCCCUCUCUUGUGAUCCACAUCGACAGGCGGCCGGUCAUGCGGGUGAGGCGGCUGGCGUGGAAGUUCAGAGGGAACCAGACGAUUCUGGUGGACGGGUUGCCUGUGGAGGUGUUCUGGGAUGUCCAUGGCUGGCUCUUUGGCUCGGCAACAAGCAGCGCAGUGUUCAUGUUCCAGACAUGCCAAGCGCCUGAGAAGUCCAUGUCGUGGGCGUAUUUGCAGAUUUUUAAGGAGCAUCAGUUGCAAGGGCAUGGUUUCUCUUUGAUAAUACAUGCAUGGAAGGUUGAGUAGGAGUGUGCAGGUUCGAAUUGACUGCCACCUAUAUUCAACUUCCAAGUGUUAGUAAGAUGAUUUAGUGGGUGUGUUGUGAUCUGGAAUUUGCCGCCCCCUAUGAACUCUGUUGGCUAUUUUCUCAAGAUUAUAUGAUGUUUUGUUAAUUUUGUUAAUCCCUUCUCCCAUGUCCUGGAGGGGAUUGUCUGUCUCUGUGCUCAAAGUUUAUAAGCAUGCUACUCGCUGGCAUCAUAAUGCUGUAAUGAUGAAAAGGUGCAAGAAGUUCCAGCACACUGUUUUUAGGUGCUAGCUUGUUUACAAUUUUUGGAGGGCAAUACUCAGUAUUUUAAGAGCUGUUACUUUGCAUAUGGGCAUAUAGCUACACACUUUAUUGUUUUUAUUUGCAGCAGCUGUAAUUUCAUUAUGUGGAGAAGUGGAGCUAAUGAAGGUUGUGAAGAAACACUAGCACUUAGCAUCAUUUUUAUUUUGUAGUGCAGUUCAUCUUUUAUCUCUUUCAUGUGUUUUUAUCUCUUUUGUACCAUGUUAUGAUUUAUGAACAGCAUGAGUGCAUCAAUGCGUACAGAAAAUGACUCUACUAAUGUAUACAUGAAGGGCUCCAUACUCCUAACAAUCCCUGAAUCUGAAUAUGCCAAUUCCUUGCAGGAGAAAGUCCAAAUCAGGGUAAGUCCAAUUGAUUGGACCAGUUGCAACAUACUGCGUGGAUACAGAUCAAGUAGAUUUUCUAAAAGGUAAUACUUUUGUCACGAAACUUUUCCUUCCCCACACAAUUACUCUGCUUGGUGGCUUCAUUGUUCUAUUCCUUUCUACUAAUUUUCUACUCUGCUUGGCUAUUCAUUCAGACGGAGGGUAUGAUGGACAUACAUCAUGCUAUUCAGUCGACAAAUGGCAACAGAAUUUAAAAACCUAUUCAGACCGCUCCACUAAUUUCUCACUGGCGGUUUAUUCCUGUGGAGGAUAACUGAGGACCUAAGGCGUUACCUUUGCAUAAUCAAAGAUGGCUUCUUCUGACCAAUAGUUGGCCUUCCUCAUAGGGUACUGUACUGUUCUCUGUUUUUUUUUGUCUUAUAUUAUGCAUUAUGUCCUUUUGUCUAUGCUUCUCUUUCUCUAGGUUGAUAUUUCAAUUGACACAUUUCAGUGGAAGAUAACAUAUUGGAUGUAUAUAAGCAUUAGUUGAAACUAGUCGAUCAAGUGAUCAAGUCCAGUGGGUGACAGAACAGUUAGUAAGUUUUCAACAUCUUUGGAAACGUAUGAGCUGCAUUAUAACUCAUUUGUUUUGUUUGUUGAAUCUCAGAUCUUACUUCACAGGCAAAUCAAGAAUUGAGUCUCUUGCUUGACCAAACGCUCAAUCUGCUCGGUUGGAGUAUCUACCUUGUUUGAAAGAAGCUUAGCUUGGAGUUGGAGUCACUGAAUUAAGGUUGAAGUUGUUUGAUUGAAUGUGUAUCCUACAUAUUCUUGGUCAGAUCAUCUUAAAGCUUAUUUUAAACAUGCUAAAUUCAUACACAAUAGGAUCGUUGUUAUCACUGCUAAUAUGGCCAGAGCAAAGUUUGGCUACAUAGUCAGCUACAGAGCUGCCUGAAGAUGAUUUUUCUUAAAUUCUAAUUAGUCUGUUCGAUGCGUCUCACCUGUUUUUCAUUCAUGUAACUAGACAUACUAAAAUUCAGUUAGCUUCUUAUAUUUAAAAGUUCUGACCAAGUUCAUGAUUAAGUCAGUGAAGAAACUGUAUGACCAUCUUGGAUCCUGACAUUUGAAACGGACAGGCUAACUGACUGCAGUGAUUGUCUAAUGGUUGCCAUGGAACAGGAUGCAAAUCCAAUAAUGUUUGUAAAGUUUUUGUUAGCGCUGUUGACAACUCAAAACAUGUAAGCUCAUGUUCCUUAGCAGCCAAGUUUCCUACUUUAGGUAGUCAAAUUGGCUUUCUCUUUGUAAUUAAGCUAGCCUCUUUAGGUAGUCAAUUUGAUGUUCUCUUUGUAGAAUAUCUAGCCUUUCUUGGUAAUCAAGUUUGCUUUUGUAAAACUCUGUAAAUAGAAGGGAACACCAGGGGUGCUACUACUGCACUUUUACUUCACCCAUUUCCAGCUUUCUCUGCUCGCUGUGUUCAGUGUGCUCUCUGGUCGGUUGUGUUUGUGUGUGUGAGUUCUAAUUGGUAUCAGAGCCUGAGUUCGUAUCGGGAUCAUGUCCACCUCCUCUUCUCGCCGGAGGGCUGCCGCAACGGCAGCCGAGGCCGCGGAGCGCGAGGCACGUGAGGCUGCAGAGCGCGCGCGAGGCGCGCGAUGCUCGCAACGCCGCGGCCGAGGCGGUAGCGGAGGAGGCGGCCGAGAUGGCCAGAGCGGCAGCUGCCGCGGCUGAGGUGCAGCGGCCGCUGCCGCCGCUCUGCGUGCUGAGGAGAAUGACGACGAAGAUGGCCACAACGACCGGCGGAUCCUGCAUCACCGGCGUCGUCCUUCUCCGUCGCCUGCACCGCGCAACAGGCGUCACCACCGCCGUGACUCGCCGAUCGUCCAGCGCGUCAUCAAGGAGUCCGGUGGGAGCACGCCAUGGCCGAUGCUCACCAAGACGAACUACAACGACUGGUACCUGCUGAUGAGGGUGAAGCUGCAGGCGCGGCAGCUCUAGGACGCUGUCGCGUACGAGGACGCCGAGUACCAUGAGGACCGGCUGGCGUUGGACGCCAUCCUCGCUUCUGUCCCGACGGAGAUGAUCUCCACCCUGGCGGACAAGCCAAGCGCCAAGCACGCUUGGGACUCCCUCGCCGCGUCGCGUGUCGGCAUCGACCGCGCUCGCAAGGCCACUGUGCAGAAGCUGCGGAGGGAGUGGGAUCACCUGUCGUUCCGCCCCGGCGAGGACGUCGACGACUUCGCCCUACGCCUGUCCAGUCUGAUGCAGCAGCUGGCACGGCAUGGCGACACCGACAUCGACGAACUCAAGGCGGUGGAGAAAUACAUCCAUGUCGUCCCCAGCAAGUACGCCCAGCUCCCCCUGUCCAUCGAGACGCUUCUGGACCUUUCGACCUUGUCCAUCGAGGAGGUGACUGGGAGGCUCAAGGCAGUGGACGACCGCGACGAAGGGGUAGCCGGAGACCCUGUUUCCAUCGGCGGCAAGCUGCUGUUCACGGAGGAGCAGUGGCUGGCGCGCCAGAAGGAGAGGAAGAAGAAGCAGGACGGGUCCUCCUCGUCCAAGGACGCUCGCCAACAACCGCGCAAGAAAGGCGGGAGCGGCGACAAGCCCAGCGGCGACAAGCCUGCCGGCGGUGCGGGAGGAAAGGAGGGUGCUUGCGGUGAGCGUAAGGCUGCACGCAGCGACACCUGCCUCAACUGCGGCCGCCGCGGCCAUUGGGCCCGGGACUGCAGGCAGCCCAAGAAGGGUGCUGCGGCCAACAUGGCCCAAGCCGACGAGGACGACGAGCCCGCCCUGUGGAUGGCCCAAGCCAGCCCAGUCCUGCAGCCCGUGGCGGGAGAAAGGGGGGAGCUUUCGACUCCACCAAGUCCACCGCUGCUCCACCUCGACGAGCCGCUAGCGCACGCCUUCCUCGGCGACGGCUCCGGCGACGACAAGCUCGAAGGGUGGUACCUGGACAGCGGUGCCACGCACCACAUGACCGGGUGCUCCGGCCACUUCGGCGACCUCGACCAUGGAGUCCGGGGGUCCGUCAAGUUUGGGGACGCCUCGGCCGUGGAGAUCCGCGGCAUCGGCUCCAUCGUUUUCACCACUAAGAGCGGGGAGCACAAGCUGCUCCACGGCGUCUACUACAUCCCGGCGCUGCGCAACUUGUCGGGUUUUAUCCGGCUGCCCACCGAGGGGUAUACCCAAAGUGGUAGGUUUUGGGUUGGGAUGCGCCGAGAUCAGGAACUCGAAGGUGCAGACAACACAAGAUUUAGACAGGUUCAGGCCGCAAUAUGCGUAAUGCCCUACGUCCUGUAUGAUGGUUUGUAUUGCCUUGAUGUUGAUAUGGUGAUCUUGGUUUUGAGGGGGUCCCUGCCCGCCCUUAUAUAUCCGGGGGGACAGGGUUACAUGAAUCCUAGCCUGAUACUAGCUCAGGAACCGUACUCAAGUACAACUCGAGUAGUUUUCUUCUGUAUCGACUAGUUCUACUCCGCAUGCGGGUAGAAUACAACAUAAAUAAGGUACAGGACACGUCCUAUCCCCUAGCCCAAUAUGGACUCCUUGAUGUACACAGCCCCAUGGCCCCGGGUCUGACAAGCCCCCAAGCUCUUCGUAGCUGAGUACUCCAGGCUCUUCGAGUACUUCUGAAGCAGUCCUCGACUUCUUUCGAAGCUCCGUCUUGAAAUUUCUCUUCGAGUACUCUUCUGACUGCAUCGAAGCUAUGAGGUGCUCAUGCCCCGAAUUCUUUCUUUUGUAUGGGGUGCGAUGAAUAAUCGCACUCCAUAUGGAGUAGCCCCCAAGCCUUAGGUUGAAUCGAAGAAUCAAGCUGAGGGUCAAACUAGUCUUGAGUCUUUUCUUCUUAUCCUUCGAGCACUUUCGAAAAAUAAGUAGUCGAUGCCACGUGUCUGAUAACCCCCGAAUCUUGAAUCCAAAUCUCUCAAAUUUCGGAAAAAAGGAUCCCAAAAGUCGUGGCAAAAAUAUUCCCUAUUGAGAAAAUAUAGUUCAAGAUGAUGUAAUUGGCAGAAAUUGAACUUGAAAUUCAAAAAACCUCUUUUUUCGGGACAAUUAACCCUGAAAAAAUGGUUAAUCAAAUAACUGCCCAAAAAAUCCACCAAAAAACCGCUCGUAUUCCAAGUAUUCCCCUUGUGCGACGCUUCACCUUUUGCACAGUAAACCACUGCCUGACCGCUGGUUAUUUAACCUCGCAGUCAGUUAGGGUUCUUCCCGUACCUUCAGAUCUCACGCCGCCGCCAGAGAAAAAACAAAAACCUCAACGAAAUCUCACCCUGCUGCCACUCCUCUACCGCCCUGCAUAGUCGAAAUCCUUCGAGCCAUCGACCGUAGCCCCCGAGCGUUUCGCGAACAACUCGUAGCUUAACAGAUCCGAAAUGGCGCCGAAGAAAAUCAACGCGAAGGAACUGAAAGAGGCACAAGCGGCAACCAGCGAGUGGUCAAUUAGUAAGUGUUCUCGCCACCAUCUCGCAAAUUUAGUGCUGGGGGGUCUGCUUCAAGAGAGAAAUCUCAUCAAUUGGCGCCUUGCCCUUCGCGAUCCUUUCCCGAUGGAAAAUGUUGACGAGAUCGUAUCCUUUUGCUCUUUUUCUGAACGGGGUCUGGCCCUCCCCACUUGUUCGUUCUUCCGUGGCCUUCUUUAUUUCUAUGGGAUUGAGCUGCAACACCUCAACCCUAACUCAAUUUGCCACAUCUCAAUUUUCAUCCACUUCUGUGAAGCCUUCCUUGGAAUUGAGCCCCAUUGGGCUCUUUUCCGCUAUCUUUUCCGCAUGAAGCCCCAGCCAACCGCCAAAAAUCCAUCUGUGAUAGGGGGUGCUGGUAUCCAACUUAGGCAACAUACCAGUGAUAAAUACAUAUCUUACAAAUUUCCUUCCAAUAUCCCCGGGUGGAAACAGCAAUGGUUCUACAUUGCGAACCAUGCCCCCCAACUCCAUCGUGAGUCUCGGUCAGCUCGACGAGCAUGGCGCAAAGGUCCAGAUCGCCCAAGGGGUGCUCCAAAUCUGGGUCCGUGAAGGUCGUCUUCUCACCAAGGUCAAGCGGGGGCACAACCACCUCUACAUCCUCCACCUGCAGGUGGUCCGGCCAGUCUGCCUUGCCGCUUGUCGUGACGAUGAGACCUGGUUAUGGCACGAGCGGUUCGGGCACCUGCACUUCGACGUGCUGCGGAAGCUCGGGUGCGAGGGGAUGGCGCGUGGGAUGCCCCGGAUCGACCACGUCGAGCAGCUGUGCGACACCUGCGUCGUGACCAAGCUCAAGCGGCGGCCUUUCCCACAGCAGGCAGCGUACCACGCGCAGGAGCAGCUCGAGCUCGUCCACGGUGACCUCUGUGGUCCCGUCACGCCGGCGACACCCAGAGGGCGACGCUUCUUCCUGCUGCUCAUCAACGACGCGUCCCGCUUCAUGUGGGCUAUGCUGCUUCCAACGAAGGCAGCCGCAGUGGAUGCCAUCAAGCACAUCCAAGCUGCAGCCGAGAUGGAGUCCGGCCACAAGCUGCGGGUGCUGCGCACCGACAAUGGUGGCGAAUUCACAUCGGCUGAGUUUGCCGCCUACUGUGCCGAUGAGGGCAUCAAGCGGCAUUUCUCCGCGCCGUACACGCCACAGCAGAACGGCGUGGUCGAACGCCGAAACCAGACGGUGGUGGCCACCGCUCGGGCCUUGCUCAAGCAGCGGGGCAUGCCUGCGGAUUUUUGGGGUGAGGCGGUGAUGACGGCGGUGUUCCUGCUCAACCGGUCGCCGACCAAGAGCCUCGAAGGGAAGACGCCGUAUGAGGCAUGGCAUGGCCACACGCCGGCGGUUGCCUACCUCCGCACCUUCGGCUGCCUGGCUUAUGUCAAGGAGCUGAGCCACGUCGGCAAGCUCGACGAUCGAAGCACUCCGGGAGUCUUCAUCGGCUACGCGGACAGCGUGAAGGGGUACCGCAUCCUCGACCCAGCGACUCGGCGCGUGCGCACGUCACGGGACGUCGUGUUCGACGAAGGGCACGGCUGGGACUGGUCCAAGGAGGCCAUUGGUGGCAAGGAUGGGUCACAGGGCGACUUCACAGUCAAGUUCGUGCAGCUCGGAGGAGCCGGGGGAGCAGCGGGCAGCUCAGCAUCAGGCACGCCUGCUCCUGCACCAUCACCAGGCCCGCCGCUGGCAUGUGGGUUUGGCAGUCCGGCACCAGCCACGCCGGUAGCAUCACCGGCUCCCGACGGCCAGAGCACACCGGCGUUUGUCAGUCCGCUGGCAGACGACGCUGAUCGUAUUGAUGCAGCGCACGACGACACCCCGCUCUGCUACCGUACCGUCGACAACAUCCUUGGUGAUCAAGCAGUGCCAGAGUAUGUCCAGCGGAACAUGGACGCUGAGCUCCACCUCACGCACAUGGGGGAGCUGUGCUCUUUCGCUGAAGCGGAAGGAGACGCAGCAUGGCGUGCUGCGAUGCAGCAGGAGAUGGACUCCAUCGAGCACAACAGUACGUGGAGCUCGUGGACCUGCCAGCCGGACAUCGUCCGAUCACCCUGAAGUGGAUCUUCAAGCUGAAGAAGAACGAGGCGGGGGAGGUGGUCAAGUACAAGGCCAGGCUCGUUGCUCGUGGCUUCGUCCAGCAGGAGGGGAUCGAUACGACGACGCCUUCGCGCCGGUGGCACGCAUUGAGUCCAUCCGUAUGCUCCUCGCGCUCGCUGCACAGAAGGGGUGGCGCGUCCACCACAUGGACGUCAAGUUGGCAUUCCUCAACGGCGACUUGAAGGAGGAGGUGUACGUGCGGCAACCUCCCGGUUUCAUCAUUGCCGGCAAGGAGGGCAAGGUGCUGCGCCUUCGAAAGGCGUUGUACGGCCUCCGGCAAGCACCGCGCGCCUGGAACAUCAAGCUGGACGCCACGCUCAAGGAGAUGGGUUUUCAGCAGAGUGUACACGAGGCGGCGGCGUACCGGUGUGGCAUGGGGCGUUCUGUCCUGUUGAUCGGCGUCUACGUGGACGACCUGGUCAUCACCGGCACCAACGAGGCAAAGGUGAGAGCCUUCAAGAUGCAGAUGAUGGACAAGUUCCAGAUGAGCGACCUUGGGCUCCUCUGUUUCUACCUCAGCAUCGAGGUCCGGCAGGACAACACCGGCAUCACGCUCCGUCAAGCACACUACGCCAAGCGCAUCGUCGAGUUGGGUGGCAUGGAGGGCUGCAACCCCGCCCACACUCCGAUGGAGGAGCGGCUCCAGCUGAGCCGCUACAGCGAGGCAGAGGAGGUCGACGCGACUCAGUACCGUCGCAUCGUCGGCAGCUUGCGCUACCUGGUGCACACCUGGCCGGAUGUGGCGUUCGCCGUCGGGUACAUGAGCCGGUUCAUGGAACGGCCCACAGCAGAGCACCAGUCGGCCAUCAAGAGGAUUCUUUGCUACAUCGCGGGCACGAUCGACUACGGCCUGCACUUCGAGAGGCAUUCCGGAGCAGCGCACUUCGUCGGCUACUGUGACAGCGACCUCGCCGGCGACAUCGACGCCAGCAAGAGCACGAGUGGCAUGCUGUUCUUCCUCGGCAGCAGCCUCGUGAGCUGGCAAUCACUCAAGCAACAAGUGGUGGCACUCUCUAGCUGCGAAGCAGAGUACAUCGCUGCCACCUCCGCCGCAACUCAGGCGCUGUGGCUGGCUCGUCUGAUGGGCGAGCUGCUCGGCAAGAAGGCUGAGGCGGUCGAGCUGCGGGUAGACAGCAAGUCUGCCCUGGCAUUGGCCAAGAACCCCGUAUUCCAUGGGAGAAGCAAGCACAUCCGGAUUAAGUUCCACUUCAUCAGAAGCUGCUUGGAAGAGGGGAGUGUGAAGGCCAACUACAUCAACACCGUGGAUCAGCUCGCCGACAUUCUCACCAAACCACUUGGGCGAGUCAAGUUUCAAGAUAUGCGCUCCCGCAUUGGUUUAAUCCACAUCAAGUCGGAGAAGGGUACAUGAGGCUUAGGGGGAGAAUUGUUGACAACUCAACACAUGUAAGCUCAUGUUCCUUAGCAGCCAAGUUUGCUACUUUAGGUAGUCAAAUUGGCUUUCUCUUUGUAAUUAAGCUAGCCUCUUUAGGUAGUCAAUUUGGUGUUCUCUUUGUAGAAUAUCUAGCCUUUCUUGGUAGUCAAGUUUGCUUUUGUAAAACUCUGUAAAUAGAAGGGAACACCAGGGGUGUUACUACUGCACUUUUACUUCACCCAUUUCCAGCUUUCUCUGCUCGCUGUGUUCAGUGUGCUUUCUGAUCAGUUGUGUUUGUGUGUGUGAGUUCUAACAAGCGCUAGCCUGAAGUACAGAAUUCUUCGUAGAUCAUACUGUCUCAGUAAUUGUAUCUAGAUUCUAUACAUCAUUUUCCAGAGAAGCGACUACCAAAUGGUAGCAUAUGAGAAUGACUCUGCCCAUGCAGUUGUUAUCUCAGGAUCUUGUUACUACUUACUGGCAAGCAGGCGAGUUGCCGAUGAUAUCGGCACUAUAGAGUGCUUACUUCAAUAUGCAAGUGUUAAGGUUUUGGUUGAUGAACCCUGAGCCGAUUUUCUCACUUAUCAGCAGCAAAAUAUCUCUUCAAGUUAUGCUAUAAUUUCAAAUUCCUGGUUGGAUAAACAGUGUAUUUUGUAUAGGAGCCAGGGAUCAGCUCCUAAUUUGUCAACAAUACACAAUAAGGAGUGAUAGGAGUGGCAUUUGUCCCAUAAUUCGACAGUGCCAAAUCAGUCCCUGCUGUUGAUUUUCAUGUGCAGCAAGAAGAAUUACUAUAGUUACGACAUUGGAUAUCAUGAUUUUGCUGGAGCUGUUCUCAUUUGUUCAGAAUCAUAUUGAAAAGAUAAAAGAAGUUACUGUGCCUUUUCUUCUUCUUUUUUUCUCGAAUACGCAGUGCUGUUAAUUUCUUUUUUUUCUUUUUUCUUUUUGUUGUUACUAGUUGUGAUGUAGCAUCGCUUUAUUCUUGCAAGUCACACAAACUGCUGUUCAUGAAGUUUCAUGCGCUGGGACGGUGAUGGAACACAAAAACCUUGACAUUUUUGCCUAGUCUGGACCAGACAGAUGUGAACUGAUGGUAUUGCUGUGGGCCUGUUCAGAUUAACCAUCAACAGCACACGUGCCCAAUAAACUUUGUUCAAGAAGAAGAAGACCAAUGGACAAAACUGUAAUUGGCAAGGUUGAGUUUUACCCAAUCAGUAAUCGGAGUAGUUUGCAUUUCUUUGCUAUCACACGACAUUCUAGAAGAACAAGCAAACACAGAACAGAGACCCCUGCUAGUCGACAUCUAGACCUUUUCCUUUUUUUGAUUGAUGAACCUGUUCGAACCUUUUUACUGUUCUCCUCGGUUUCUCUUUUGUUGCUACCCUACCCUAUUCAAAGAAUACAAAAAUCUCACCAGCUCAAACAAUUUUUUUUACCUUCCUGAUCUUACAUGCAUAUACUAACUCAUCGCUUCAAAAAAAUUGUUUGUGUAAUUUGGGACGGCCAUUCACUUGUUUGUACCUCAUCAACAAGCAUUCAGAGCACCACCUCAUGCUUUCUUCUUUGCAGUUUGAAGAAGCCAAUGCAAGUCUUCGUCAAGGGCUGCACAAAUACACACUGACAAGAGCAGCAUACCAACAACACAAUAGACAGCAUCACAAAGGUAUGAGAGUACAAUAUCUAUUCAAAACAUUGAUGAUCACAUAAUACAAACAAGUCACUACUGACAUUUAGUAUUAAAUUUGUUAAUGCAUUCCUUUCGGGCACUAGCUUGUAUAAUAGUCCCAAAUCACACCAACAAACCCGUAGCGCUGCAAAUAUUAAACCAAAAGCUAUGACCAUGAGUGCUUGUUCAAAGACAUUGUUCUUUCCUUUAACAAAGGGGAAACCAAGAUACCGCAUAAAACAUAAGCAUGGCGGCAAAGACUGACCAAACGGCACCCGCCUUCGAAGUACCAAAAUUAUAAAGUUUAUAGCCUGCAGAAGAUCACAAAAUAAAUAAAAAAAUCAGAAUCACACAGACAUAACCACACAUACAACAUUCUGGUGUGGUACUACCUUACUUGCAAAAUUAGUAUUCUUUUUUGGGGGUUAGGUUAAAGGGUGCGAAAUCGCGGUUCCAAUGGGGAAAGCGAGGGGGAGGUAGGAAGGAGUGAGGAGCAGAAAGGGACAAGAUACCAGAAUAGAUUGCAGGGGACACCACGAUUGGGCUGCAAGGAACGAAGCAACAACAAUGUGGCCGGGGUGACGGUACAGUGCAAUAGACUUCACCCCUACCCCGUGCCAAAUGCAACGCCACCUGAUGGGUACCCCCUCUCUACCCUCCCCCUCUCCCUCCACCACCUGCCUAUUUCCUCCGGGCGUUUUGGCGUAGGAGCCCGGCAGCCACAGCGUUCCUCGUUGCCAUCUGCUCAAUGGGGUGGCUCCACUCCCUCUUCUCCCCUCUCAGGAGGAUGUGGGUUCGGGCGCAUUCGGAGCGCCGGAACCGUAAGUCCUCUAUCCAUCUCUGCUUGUGAUCACCUUCCUACGAUCGCAUCCGGCUUUCGAUCUUAAUUUGUUAUGGUGUUGGUGCACUGCAAACAUGUUUCUUUCUUCAUUUGUAGCAUGUUUUUCUUCCUUCUGUCUGAACAUUUCUUUUUAGAACUUUUCUCUGAACUUUCUUGCAUUCGGUGACAUGGUUUCAGCGGUGCUGCAUCUGAUGCUUUUCUUUGGCAGGGAGGGGAAUGCACCUCCUGUACAAGGACGUGCAGUCCUGCCAGGACGAGGACGUGCAGGUCCUGUGGUCGAUCCUUAUCGACUCGCACCGCCACCCGGCGCUCCGCAAGCUCAAGCUCUGAAACUCUGGAGGAGCAGCCAGCAACGGCGUGUAUUUAUGUGUGAGGGCAGCACCACUCCCUUGCCUAGGCCUCCCUAGAGUUCCCAUCCUAUGGUAUUGUUCGGCUUCGAUGAGGAUCCUCAUUGGCCAUUACCGCCUUCGCCUUCCGAAACCCGAAAACCGAAAAAAAAAUCCAGAGGUUGAAGAAGAAGAAGAGGAGAGAGAGAGAGAGGUUUGUAUGAUUUUUCCCCCCUUUGUGUUUGGUUUGAAAAUGUUCCAGUGAGGUUGAGAUGCCUCCCACCUGUACUCUGUGUGUUUGAGCUUGAAAAAUGAGUGUGAGGUUGAGCUCUCUGUACAUAGACACAUGACUUGCUCAAGUGCCUUACCUUGGAUUGUGUUGUGGAGUAUUGUACAGUUGUGUGUAUGGGAGGCUGGUUGUUAGGGUGUAUCUGUCCCUGCUUUUUUUUUUAUUAAAUCGCCUGUCGAUUUCUUGGUGCCCUGAGGUGUCUCUUGCUCUCUCGCACGAAUGGCUGACAAGUGGUCGUGCUCGGGCAUUUUGGACUAGAAUAUAAAGUGUAUCGAUCAAUUGUUUCUCAACGCAUGGGAUCCAAAGUCGUAGGGGACAAUUUGGCUUUAUGCCUUGUAUUUGUUU
Molecule: long non-coding RNA, 42018 nt
Filed under: Panicum hallii
Lineage: Eukaryota; Viridiplantae; Streptophyta; Magnoliopsida; Poales; Poaceae
Description: long non-coding RNA (PHAL_LNC000121)
Source: RNAcentral